UGAUUGAUUUGAUUUUUUCUUUCUUUUUUUUUGUAAGUUCGUGUUUGUAGAAAUGAACUCGGUUAGAAUUACGAAGUAACUAGAAUUCGAAAUUAAAACCUGAGAUAUCAAUUAUUUCGCUCGUACUAUACUUUUUUCUCUUAUAAAUUAUAGGAGAAACUUCAAAUACUCCCCCUGUGGUUUUGCACUUUCUCAUUUUAGUACUAUGUGGUUUCGUACUUUCUCACUUUAUUACUCUAUAAUUUCAAGUGUAUCAAAUUAGUAUCAUGUGGUUUCAUUUUUGUAUCAAGUUAAUACCCUGUUAUUUUAAUUUUUUUUUUUUAUUAUCCAUUUCGAGAUAUAUAAUUUAACGAAAUAUUAAACCACAUGAUACUAAAGUGAGAAAGUGUGAAAUCAUAGGGUACUAACUUGAUACACUUGAAACCAUGGAGUAAAAAAGUGAGAAGGUUCGAAACCACAUGAUACUAAUUUGAUAUACUUUAAACUAAAUGGUACUAAAGUGAAAAAGUACGAAAUCACAUGAGGGUAUUUCAAGUUUCUCCUAAAUUAUACUGAGACGGGCACAAACCUCAAAUUUUA
Molecule: long non-coding RNA, 579 nt
Filed under: Ananas comosus (pineapple)
Lineage: Eukaryota; Viridiplantae; Streptophyta; Magnoliopsida; Poales; Bromeliaceae
Description: long non-coding RNA (ACOM_LNC010832)
Source: RNAcentral